Molecule: regulatory RNA element, 114 nt
Organism: Scleropages formosus (Asian bonytongue)
Lineage: Eukaryota; Metazoa; Chordata; Actinopteri; Osteoglossiformes; Osteoglossidae
Rfam family: Potassium channel RNA editing signal
About the family: This family represents a group of sequences related to the human potassium channel Kv1.1 hairpin element which directs the efficient modification of an adenosine to inosine by an adenosine deaminase acting on RNA (ADAR).
Source: Rfam
UUGGGCUACGGUGACAUGUAUCCACGGACGUGGACAGGCAUGCUCGUGGGUGCCCUUUGCGCCCUGGCAGGGGUGCUGACCAUUGCCAUGCCGGUGCCGGUCAUCGUCAACAAC